UUUAUACAAACACAGAUUAUACAAAAUACAAUGUAUAAUUUAUGUUUGUAUAAAGCGAGAGAGAGAACGAUAUUUGAUAUACAAACGUUUUAUUUCGAUUCAAUUGUAUACAAAUUCAAAUUUUAUACAGAUAUACAGACACAUAAAAUUAAAUUGAGAGACUCUCAACGAUUUAUACAAACAAGAGGCUGACAACAAUUUAUACAAAUGGCCUGCCAGCGAAAUUAUACAACUCUGAAGAGGAGCCAACGAAUUAUA
Molecule: long non-coding RNA, 258 nt
Filed under: Solanum tuberosum (potato)
Lineage: Eukaryota; Viridiplantae; Streptophyta; Magnoliopsida; Solanales; Solanaceae
Description: long non-coding RNA (STUB_LNC011631)
Source: RNAcentral